UAAGGAAUAUUGGUCAAUGGACGCAAGUCUGAACCAGCCAUGCCGCGUGAGGGAUGAAGGUCCUCUGGAUUGUAAACUUCUUUUAUCUGGGACGAAAACGGGAUUUUUAUCUCAAUUGACGGUACCAGAGGAAUAAGCACCGGCUAACUCCGUGCCAGCAGCCGCGGUAAUACGGAGGGUGCGAGCGUUAUCCGGAUUUACUGGGUUUAAAGGGUGCGUAGGUGGGCUUAUAAGUCAGUGGUGAAAUCUCCGAGCUUAACUUGGAAACUGCCGUUGAUACUAUAGGUCUUGAAUUAUCUGGAGGUAAGCGGAAUAUGUCAUGUAGCGGUGAAAUGCUUAGAUAUGACAUAGAACACCAAUUGCGAAGGCAGCUUACUACAUAUAAAUUGACGCUGAGGCACGAAAGCGUGGGGAUCAAACA
RNAcentral lists this ribosomal RNA (421 nucleotides) under uncultured bacterium. RNAcentral's name for it is "bacterial SSU rRNA". It matches the Rfam family "Bacterial small subunit ribosomal RNA", at positions 355 to 774 of the family's 1533-position model. The record is from RNAcentral.